AUUGAACGCUGGCGGCAUGCUUUACACAUGCAAGUCGAACGGUAACAGGCCGCAAGGUGCUGACGAGUGGCGAACGGGUGAGUAAUGCAUCGGAACGUGCCCAGUCGUGGGGAUAACUACUCGAAAGAGUAGCUAAUACCGCAUACGAUCUAUGGAUGAAAGCGGGGGACCGUAAGGCCUCGCGCGAUUGGAGCGGCCGAUGUCAGAUUAGGUAGUUGGUGGGGUAAAGGCUCACCAAGCCAACGAUCUGUAGCUGGUCUGAGAGGACGACCAGCCACACUGGGACUGAGACACGGCCCAGACUCCUACGGGAGGCAGCAGUGGGGAAUUGUGGACAAUGGGCGCAAGCCUGAUCCAGCAAUGCCGCGUGCAGGAAGAAGGCCUUCGGGUUGUAAACUGCUUUUGUACGGAACGAAACGGCUCUGGUUAAUACCCGGGGCUAAUGACGGUACCGGAAGAAUAAGCACCGGCUAACUACGUG
This 481-nucleotide ribosomal RNA is filed under the name uncultured bacterium. Its description in RNAcentral is "partial 16S ribosomal RNA". It matches the Rfam family "Bacterial small subunit ribosomal RNA", at positions 30 to 507 of the family's 1533-position model. The record is from RNAcentral.